AAACUGUGACAUAAGCAAACACAAAGUGACACUUGUAUUGUGGGCAGGUUCAGCAGUUGGUGCUGUGCUGCUUAAUCCUUCUGCAGGUGCCAUCACACCAAAUGCAGAGGAGCACAGCUGUAUGUACAACAGCAGCUACUUAGAUCAAUCCAAAACACACCGCACAUGGCAGCUUAUUUGUACCAUCUGCUACAGAAAUGUCAGUCAAGGACACCGAAGCUUCCAUGCAGUUUUAAAGUAGUCAUAUAAAUGUAUUACAUAGCAUUCCUGACAUCAGCCUGUUCGGUAUCACAGACAGCAGAACAUGGAGCAGAGAGAUAGUGGAAGAUGUGGAAGAUGCUCCUCACCUGCCAGCAUCUCCCUAGAGAACCCAAACUACAAGCAGACACACUGGUAAAGAGCAACCAAAAGAAAAGAGCAUUUUGACAGUCAUUUCACACCUUCACUGUGGGUCCCCACACCAAGAUACCAGAAGGACCAUUUGCACCACAGGACCCCAAUGCCCCGCCCAGAGGAAGCAGAUUGACGGAGAAUAAAAGUUCUCACAUCUUCCUAAGGGCUCAGCAGCUACAACACUUGCCAUGAAAAGGGGCUUCUGGAGCUCUCACAUGUAUAAUCCUAGUCCCUAUUUAUCCUUACAGUUUAAAACUACCAACCAUUUGCUCGACAGCAUAUAGGUUCAUUCUGCAGUUUUCCACUCUAUGUCACUAUUGCCUCAGCACAGACAAACAGGCCAGGGAAUAUCUGCAGAGGAACAGCAACAGCUCAGGGCACACUCAGCUCUCACAUCUGGAAUCAUCUCACAUUAGCUUUUCCUGACAGACCUGAACAUUUCAUAUGUGCCUUUUUGAUAUCCCCCUUUGAAUACCAAGUGACACUUUAGGAUUAAGUGAAAAUGUUUCAUUAAGAAAUACAUGAAAAGGCCACUUAAAUUAGAGAAACUAUUGGCUAAUGAGGAAAUUCAAUUGAGCAUUGAUAAAAGCAGUCACCCGUGAAUCCCACAGCAAAACAUACUCUGUUUUUACCGUGGAAGUUAGAAGAGCAAUCUCUAUACCCUGUGCCGCAAGAGACAGCUAAUAUUUACACAGCCGCUGCUUCCUUUGGGCUACAUGUGCAAUACUUCUCUUUUUAAAGGUUGGUGUCAGGUCACCAAGAAUCCCCAGGACCCAGUGCCAAUUUGCAAAAAAAAAAAUACAAAUAAGCUUAUACAAGAACUGCGAGUAUUUUUCAA
Long non-coding RNA from Columba livia (rock pigeon), 1231 nucleotides. RefSeq lists it as uncharacterized. The transcript has 3 exons. The record is from RefSeq and is a predicted model, not a curated record. NCBI's taxonomy places the organism in Eukaryota, Metazoa, Chordata, Aves, Columbiformes, Columbidae.